GACUUAAAAUGCUCAAUGCAAACAAAGCAGUGGAGCUGUAGGUGUAGGAGGCGUACAGCUCCAAGUUCACCAUACGGUUGAUGGCAGCCUCGCAAUCGCUCUGAAAGUUCUGUCGCACCUGGGACUCCAUUUCAGCCUUUCAGUUGUUUUGGGUGGCGCAAAGAAGUCACAGAAAGUCAGCAAUUAGUAGAAGAUGUUUAAAAAAAGAGCAAAAGACUCAGAGAGGGUUCCGUUCAAGCACUGUUGAAGCAAGAACUCUGCUCAGAGUCAGGAGUAGAUCUAAA
Long non-coding RNA from Nanorana parkeri, 284 nucleotides. RefSeq lists it as uncharacterized. The record is from RefSeq and is a predicted model, not a curated record. NCBI's taxonomy places the organism in Eukaryota, Metazoa, Chordata, Amphibia, Anura, Dicroglossidae. The transcript is spliced from 2 exons.